RNAcentral lists this ribosomal RNA (2272 nucleotides) under Salmonella enterica subsp. enterica serovar Paratyphi B var. L(+) tartrate +. RNAcentral describes it as "Salmonella enterica subsp. enterica serovar Java partial 23S ribosomal RNA". It matches the Rfam family "Bacterial large subunit ribosomal RNA", at positions 690 to 2925 of the family's 2925-position model. The record is from RNAcentral. Lineage: Bacteria; Pseudomonadati; Pseudomonadota; Gammaproteobacteria; Enterobacterales; Enterobacteriaceae.
GGGCGUUAAGUUGCAGGGUAUAGACCCGAAACCCGGUGAUCUAGCCAUGGGCAGGUUGAAGGUUGGGUAACACUAACUGGAGGACCGAACCGACUAAUGUUGAAAAAUUAGCGGAUGACCUGUGGCUGGGGGUGAAAGGCCAAUCAAACCGGGAGAUAGCUGGUUCUCCCCGAAAGCUAUUUAGGUAGCGCCUCGUGAAUUCAUCUCCGGGGGUAGAGCACUGUUUCGGCUAGGGGGCCAUCCCGGCUUACCAACCCGAUGCAAACUGCGAAUACCGGAGAAUGUUAUCACGGGAGACACACGGCGGGUGCUAACGUCCGUCGUGAAGAGGGAAACAACCCAGACCGCCAGCUAAGGUCCCAAAGUCAUGGUUAAGUGGGAAACGAUGUGGGAAGGCCCAGACAGCCAGGAUGUUGGCUUAGAAGCAGCCAUCAUUUAAAGAAAGCGUAAUAGCUCACUGGUCGAGUCGGCCUGCGCGGAAGAUGUAACGGGGCUAAACCAUGCACCGAAGCUGCGGCAGCGACGCUUAUGCGUUGUUGGGUAGGGGAGCGUUCUGUAAGCCUGUGAAGGUGGCCUGUGAGGGUUGCUGGAGGUAUCAGAAGUGCGAAUGCUGACAUAAGUAACGAUAAAGCGGGUGAAAAGCCCGCUCGCCGGAAGACCAAGGGUUCCUGUCCAACGUUAAUCGGGGCAGGGUGAGUCGACCCCUAAGGCGAGGCCGAAAGGCGUAGUCGAUGGGAAACGGGUUAAUAUUCCCGUACUUGGUGUUACUGCGAAGGGGGGACGGAGAAGGCUAUGUUGGCCGGGCGACGGUUGUCCCGGUUUAAGCGUGUAGGUGUGUGUUCCAGGUAAAUCCGGUUCACUUUAACACUGAGGCGUGACGACGAGGCACUACGGUGCUGAAGCAACAAAUGCCCUGCUUCCAGGAAAAGCCUCUAAGCAUCAGGUAACAUCAAAUCGUACCCCAAACCGACACAGGUGGUCAGGUAGAGAAUACCAAGGCGCUUGAGAGAACUCGGGUGAAGGAACUAGGCAAAAUGGUGCCGUAACUUCGGGAGAAGGCACGCUGACACGUAGGUGAAGUGAUUUACUCAUGGAGCUGAAGUCAGUCGAAGAUACCAGCUGGCUGCAACUGUUUAUUAAAAACACAGCACUGUGCAAACACGAAAGUGGACGUAUACGGUGUGACGCCUGCCCGGUGCCGGAAGGUUAAUUGAUGGGGUCAGCGCAAGCGAAGCUCCUGAUCGAAGCCCCGGUAAACGGCGGCCGUAACUAUAACGGUCCUAAGGUAGCGAAAUUCCUUGUCGGGUAAGUUCCGACCUGCACGAAUGGCGUAAUGAUGGCCAGGCUGUCUCCACCCGAGACUCAGUGAAAUUGAACUCGCUGUGAAGAUGCAGUGUACCCGCGGCAAGACGGAAAGACCCCGUGAACCUUUACUAUAGCUUGACACUGAACAUUGAGCCUUGAUGUGUAGGAUAGGUGGGAGGCUUUGAAGCGUGGACGCCAGUCUGCGUGGAGCCGACCUUGAAAUACCACCCUUUAAUGUUUGAUGUUCUAACGUGGACCCGUGAUCCGGGUUGCGGACAGUGUCUGGUGGGUAGUUUGACUGGGGCGGUCUCCUCCUAAAGAGUAACGGAGGAGCACGAAGGUUGGCUAAUCCUGGUCGGACAUCAGGAGGUUAGUGCAAUGGCAUAAGCCAGCUUGACUGCGAGCGUGACGGCGCGAGCAGGUGCGAAAGCAGGUCAUAGUGAUCCGGUGGUUCUGAAUGGAAGGGCCAUCGCUCAACGGAUAAAAGGUACUCCGGGGAUAACAGGCUGAUACCGCCCAAGAGUUCAUAUCGACGGCGGUGUUUGGCACCUCGAUGUCGGCUCAUCACAUCCUGGGGCUGAAGUAGGUCCCAAGGGUAUGGCUGUUCGCCAUUUAAAGUGGUACGCGAGCUGGGUUUAGAACGUCGUGAGACAGUUCGGUCCCUAUCUGCCGUGGGCGCUGGAGAACUGAGGGGGGCUGCUCCUAGUACGAGAGGACCGGAGUGGACGCAUCACUGGUGUUCGGGUUGUCAUGCCAAUGGCACUGCCCGGUAGCUAAAUGCGGAAGAGAUAAGUGCUGAAAGCAUCUAAGCACGAAACUUGCCCCGAGAUGAGUUCUCCCUGAGACUUAGAGUCUCCUGAAGGAACGUUGAAGACGACGACGUUGAUAGGCCGGGUGUGUAAGCGCAGCGAUGCGUUGAGCUAACCGGUACUAAUGAACCGUGAGGCUUAACCUUACAACGCCGAAG